GCGCCCGUAGCUCAGAGGAUAGAGCAGCGGUUUCCUAAACCGCGAGCCGCAGGUUCGAUUCCUGCCGGGCGCACCA
This 76-nucleotide transfer RNA is filed under the name bacterium. RNAcentral's name for it is "tRNA-Arg". It matches the Rfam family "tRNA". From Rfam's summary of the family: Transfer RNA (tRNA) molecules are approximately 80 nucleotides in length. Their secondary structure includes four short double-helical elements and three loops (D, anti-codon, and T loops). The record is from RNAcentral.